RNAcentral lists this ribosomal RNA (506 nucleotides) under uncultured bacterium. RNAcentral's name for it is "partial 16S ribosomal RNA". It matches the Rfam family "Bacterial small subunit ribosomal RNA", at positions 29 to 523 of the family's 1533-position model. The record is from RNAcentral.
AGUGAACGCUGGCGGUAGGCCUAACACAUGCAAGUCGAACGGCAGCACAGGAGAGCUUGCUCUCUGGGUGGCGAGUGGCGGACGGGUGAGGAAUACAUCGGAAUCUACUUUUUCGUGGGGGAUAACGUAGGGAAACUUACGCUAAUACCGCAUACGACCUACGGGUGAAAGCAGGGGACCUUCGGGCCUUGCGCGAUUGAAUGAGCCGAUGUCGGAUUAGCUAGUUGGCGGGGUAAAGGCCCACCAAGGCGACGAUCCGUAGCUGGUCUGAGAGGAUGAUCAGCCACACUGGAACUGAGACACGGUCCAGAGUCAUACGGGAGGCAGCAGUGGGGAAUAUUGGACAAUGGGCGCAAGCCUGAUCCAGCCAUACCGCGUGGGUGAAGAGGGCCUUCGGGUUGUAAAGCCCUUUUGUUGGGAAAGAAAUCCAGCUGGCUAAUACCCGGUUGGGAUGACGGUACCCAAAGAAUAAGCACCGGCUAACUUCGUGCCAGCCGCCGCCGUAA